GCGUACGGGAUGAAAUACAGGUUAAACUCUGAAUGCAAGUGAUGUUAAACACACGAGCUUUUUAACUCUGAAAACGCU
Tigriopus californicus is the source of this 78-nucleotide small nucleolar RNA. The record is from RefSeq and is a predicted model, not a curated record. Lineage: Eukaryota; Metazoa; Arthropoda; Copepoda; Harpacticoida; Harpacticidae.